RNAcentral lists this ribosomal RNA (245 nucleotides) under uncultured bacterium. RNAcentral's name for it is "partial 16S ribosomal RNA". It matches the Rfam family "Bacterial small subunit ribosomal RNA", at positions 524 to 768 of the family's 1533-position model. The record is from RNAcentral.
UACGUAGGGUGCAAGCGUUGUUCGGAAUUACUGGGUGUAAAGGGAGAGUAGGCGGAUCGGUAAGUUAGAAGUGAAAAGCCCAGGCUUAACCUGGGACCUGCUUUUAAUACUGCCAGUCUUGAGUAUGGGAGAGGAAGAUGGAAUUCCAGGUGUAGCGGUGGAAUGCGUAGAUAUCUGGAAGAACACCAGUUGCGUAGGCGGUCUUCUGGCCCAAUACUGACGCUGAGGCUCGAAAGCUAGGGGAG